RNAcentral lists this ribosomal RNA (253 nucleotides) under uncultured bacterium. RNAcentral describes it as "partial 16S ribosomal RNA". It matches the Rfam family "Bacterial small subunit ribosomal RNA", at positions 524 to 776 of the family's 1533-position model. The record is from RNAcentral.
UACAGAGGGUGCGAGCGUUAAUCGGAAUUACUGGGCGUAAAGCGCGCGUAGGCGGCUUUUCAAGUCGAUUGUGAAAUCCCCGGGCUUAACCUGGGAACUGCCUUUGUGACUGCAUAGCUAGAGUACGGUAGAGGGGGAUGGAAUUCCGCGUGUAGCAGUGAAAUGCGUAGAUAUGCGGAGGAACACCGAUGGCGAAGGCAAUCCCCUGGACCUGUACUGACGCUCAUGCACGAAAGCGUGGGGAGCAAACAGG